AAGUCGUAACAAGGUUUCCGUAGGUGAACCUGCGGAAGGAUCAUUACAGUAUCUUUUUACCAGCGCUUAAUUGCGCGGUGAAAAACCUUACACACUGUGUUUUUUGUUAUUAAAACAUUUCUUUGGUCUGGACAUCUGUUCGGGCCAGAGGCUACAACACGAAACUUCAAUUUUAUUGAACUUUUAUUUAAUUAUUUGUCAAUUUGUUGAUUAAUUUCAAAAAAUCUUCAAAACUUUCAACAACGGAUCUCUUGGUUCUC
RNAcentral lists this unclassified non-coding RNA (260 nucleotides) under fungal sp. RNAcentral's name for it is "partial internal transcribed spacer region". The stretch from base 1 to 46 matches the Rfam family "Eukaryotic small subunit ribosomal RNA", at positions 1786 to 1831 of the family's 1831-position model. The record is from RNAcentral. Lineage: Eukaryota; Fungi.